UACGUAGGGAGCGAGCGUUGUCCGGAUUCAUUGGGCGUAAAGAGCUCGUAGGCGGCUUGGUAAGUCGGAUGUGAAACCUCCAGGCUCGACCUGGAGUCGCCAUCCGAUACUGCCAUGGCUAGAGUCCGGUAGGGGCCCACGGAAUUCCUGGUGUAGCGGUGAAAUGCGCAGAUAUCAGGAGGAACACCGAUGGCGAAGGCAGUGGGCUGGGCCGGCACUGACGCUGAGGAGCGAAAGCGUGGGGAGCGAACAGG
Molecule: ribosomal RNA, 254 nt
Filed under: uncultured bacterium
Lineage: Bacteria
Description: partial 16S ribosomal RNA
Rfam family: Bacterial small subunit ribosomal RNA
Source: RNAcentral